UAUUCAGAGAGUCACCUUCACAGCAUCCCUCUCUCAACACCUUCAGCAGCAGGUUUUGACUCAACAGGAGAGGGGAGGCAUUGAGCUGGACACCCUCAACUCACAGGCUCAAUCAGCCGGAGAUGGUGAGGAGGAGUUAGUGGUAGGCAGGCAGGAGAAGCUGUUCAGUCAGGAUUCCCAGAGUAUGGUGAUGCAGGUAAAGUCCAACCCUACCUUCCUGGCACAUAGGAUGGCCAAUGUCAGACACAGACGACAUGACAGACACCCAGUGUAGGUCCCUGUUACUCACCAAAGUGAAUUAUUAUUAAAGUGAAUGUAAUUGAAGCAACAUUGAUGUGUGAUGUGCUGCUUUGAAGACAAACAGUGUACCG
This is a long non-coding RNA of Salvelinus fontinalis (brook trout), 371 nucleotides long. RefSeq lists it as uncharacterized. NCBI's taxonomy places the organism in Eukaryota, Metazoa, Chordata, Actinopteri, Salmoniformes, Salmonidae. The record is from RefSeq and is a predicted model, not a curated record. The transcript is spliced from 3 exons.